AACCGACGAUAUCCUCAUUAUCUUGAUGAGCCCUGCAAAUUGAAGUGUGACUGAUCGUGCUGUAUUUACUUUGACUGCAGAUGGAAAGAGCUUUUCUUGCGAUUUUAUUCCGAUCAAAAUUAAUCAUGACUUAUGGCUAAAUUUAACAGAAUAAUAUUUCGCAGAAGCCAACAUAACGAAAUAGCAGAUACUUUGAACCGAAAAUAAAUAAAUCAGCAGCCUGUCAAAUGGCUUUGUAUAAAUUUCAGGAGUCUGUCAACUAGCAGAAUGAGGACCUCGCAAAGUGCUUUUGCUGUCAGCUUUAUAUACUCUCAGGAAUAUUUCGAGGACUGAAGUUUAGGGUUUUAGGAUUGAGAUAUCUGGCAUGAAGGUUUGUGUUGAAACUUGUGGAAAAACCAUUUAAGGUUUCAUACAAUAUAGAACAGAGGAUAAAGAAAUGUCGUCAACGACGAGGAAGAAAAAGCCUUCUGCUUUUCGAGAUUUUCCCUUAGGAUGUGGGAGGUUUGCACCGCGGAUGACAAGAGAAGAGUUGUCUGCAGUUCGUGAUUUUCCCGAAGAUUGUGGAAGGAAUGCAGCCGCUACGACCAAGAAGGAUUUGGAAGAAUCAACAGAGGUUGAUAAAACACGCCAGGAAGGAGAUGCUGAUGCAAGAACUGCAGGGGCUGGAUUUGAUUCGGCGCUGUCUAAGGCAACUUUAAAAGUUGCUGGAUUAGAUGACACUGUAGAAAAGUUGACUAGUCUGAACGUGGAAGUCAAUAAUGAGAAAAUUGACGCCAUGCCAUUGGAAUCAGAAGCCAAACCAAAUGCAGUAAAGGAAAGUAUUGAUAAAUUAGAAGACAAUCAACUUUUGCCAGAUAUAAAUGUUGAUGAUAACACUGAACCGUCAAAACUGGUUGCAUCCGAAAUAAAAAAUGACAGAAACAAAGAUAGUGAAGAGGAUAUUACCCCAUCUGAGACGACUUUAUCCAAAUCAAAAACUGACACGAGUAAAGACUCUAGAAAGGAAAGUAUGCAAGUGAAGUCAAUGCCCAAACAACCUGCAUCAAAGGCGAAGGUUGAUAAGAAAAGAGAUGAUAAGGAUAUUGUGCCAUUGAAGUCUCAAGCUAAACAGCCUGCAACAAAGAAGAAAGUUGACAGCGAGAGUGAUAAGGGCGAGAACAUCAUGGCAUCAAAGCAGUCCGCAUCCAAAGCAACAAUUGAGAAGAAAAGAGAUGGCAAAGGGAAUGCUAAACCUUUGAAACAAGAAGCUAAGCAAAUGGGUCAGAAGAAAAAGAGUGUUAAGAAAGGAGAUGCAGUAGGGGAUAUUAGUCCUUUGGAAAGCAAGGAAGCAAAGGAAAAAUCUGGCAGGAAAAAUGAUGCUGAAGAUGAUGUUGUUGAUGAUAGUGCAGAGCCAGAUCAUGCGGAUUCAGAAAGUACUCCCACAAAGCUUAAUAUCAAGGAGGGGGACAAACCUGAGUCAGCGAAUGAUAAAAAUUCAACUGCGAGUGCUGAAAAAAGCAGUAUAAAACGCAAGAAGACUCCUGCAAGCACUGCAAACAGGCGUAAGUCAAGUGGCAAGAAAGCCAAGGUGUUCCGUUCUGGUGAUGGAGAUGAUAAUUUGGAUGCAGGCUCCAGUAGGAAUGAAGUAAGAAUGACUCUUAUGAUGUAUGAUGCUUUACGUCGACACUAUGUGCUAGAAGAUGAAGAAAGCAAGCAAGCAGGUAAACGUGCAGGUGGUGGGGUUAAAAGACCAGAUGUGGAAGCAGGUAGUAGAAUGAUGGACAAGGGUCUCUGGCUUAAUCGAGAUCGAAAGGUUGUGGGAGAUCUUCCAGGGGUGCAACCUGGUGAUAUUUUUUAUUUCAGACUUGAAAUGUGUGCAAUUGGACUACAUUCACAGGUACAGGCCGGAAUACAUUACAUUGGUGCAAACAACAGUGAGUGGAAGGAUUCAGUAGCUGUUAGUAUUAUCGCAUCUGGGGGGUAUGAAGAUGAUGAAGAUGAUGGUGGGGAAACAUUGGUCUAUACUGGGUCGGGGGGAAAUAGCAAGACUGAUGGGAAACAGAAUGACGACCAGAAAUUAGAGAGGGGAAAUCUUGCUCUUGAGCGAAGUAUGCAUCAUGGGGUUGAAAUCAGGGUGAUUCGUGGUAAGAAGGACAGUAGGAGUGCUUCUGGAAAGAUAUACAUUUAUGAUGGCCUGUAUAAGGUUGAGGACUAUUGGUUGGACAAAGGGAAGUCUGGAUUUGGUGUUUUCAAGUACAGGUUGCAGAGGUUACCUGGCCAACCCGAGUUAUCAUCCGAUAUACUAAAAUCUGCUAUUAAAUGGAAAUCGAAUCCAUCUUUAAGGCAAGGACUCAUUUCUUCAGACAUAUCUUCAAAAAGAGAGAACACACCUGUUUAUCUUGUGAACACUGUUGAUGAAGAUAAAGGGCCAGAACAGUUUGAGUACAUAAGUGAAGUGAAGGUUCCAAAGUCUGUUCUUGAUUGUGUACCAUCUAACAGUUGUGAUUGUAAAGGGAGCUGUGCUCCUGGUGGAAAAUGCUCUUGUUUUUCAUUGAAUGGAGGACAAAUGCCUUAUACUCAUAAUGGGUUUCUUGUUAAGUGGAGGCCAAUGGUCUAUGAAUGCAGUGAGCUUUGCAGCUGUCCCCCAACUUGCCGUAACAGAUUGACUCAAAAGGGACUCAAGUUCCAUUUGGAAGUAUUCAAAACUGAAAAUCGAGGAUGGGGUGUGCGUUCAUGGGACCCUAUUCCAGCUGGUGCUUUUAUCUGUGAAUAUGUGGGCGAAGUUCUCUCAAGUGAGGAUAUAGAUCAGCAGGUUGAGGAAAAUGAAUUUCUGCUUUAUGCAAAGCGUGCCCUGGAACAUUCGACUGACUGGGGUGAUGUUUCUAAUAUCCUUCCUGAGAAGAAUCAAGAAGACACUGUUCAAGCCCCCCCUCCAUUGACGUUUGCCAUAAAUGCUAAGAACUUGGGAAAUGUUUCUCGCUUUAUCAAUCAUAGUUGCUCUCCAAAUGUUCUACUUCAGAGUGUCCUUAAUGAUCACCAUAAUACUCAAUUUCCACAUAUCAUGCUUUUUGCCAUGGAACAUAUUCCUCCAUUGACUGAAUUGACAUUUGACUAUGGAGUGAUUGACAGUGGAGAGGAUAAGAGUUACGUCAAAGCCUAGGUCUGUUUGUUUCGUCAAUGAACUGCAGAGGGGAAUAUCCCUAAAAUUACAUGGAAUUCAUACAACUUAAAAAAUGAAGCAUGUAUUCAGCAACUUCUAUUCUGAGGUAUUCCUGAUUUUGAUUCCACGUCGUUAUCAAGUUCAGAUUUGUGCUACAAAAAACUUUUAUUGACAGGGCUUGCUCAAACACGGGUUUCUUUGAUUUAAAAGGCUGCACUGGGUCAUGCUGCUGCUGUACCAUAGUUCUUUUGUCAACUAAGACCCUUUUACUACUAUCACUACCUACUUUCUGGGAUAAUCAAAUCCUGGUAGCAUAGGCUACAUGUGCACCACCAUGUUUACUUUCAUAUCUAUUUGCAGCAAUGUUUUUUAUAUGUGCCGUUGAUGUAUACAUAAGAUGUAGGGCUAUCUAUAACACAUGCUUGUUUGCAUCUAUGAUCAUUCUCUUGUAAAUUAUCGUCUGCCCAAAUUUUGAAGAAGCUUUCUUUUUCCAACAGAAGUCCCAUCUUAACGAAGCAUCUUUAGCAUUUUAAUUGUAUGCUAUCUCUUAAUUUAUCUUAAUUAAAAUGUAAGAUAAUUUCUGUGCCGCA
Molecule: RNA transcript, 3729 nt
Organism: Cryptomeria japonica (Japanese cedar)
Lineage: Eukaryota; Viridiplantae; Streptophyta; Pinopsida; Cupressales; Cupressaceae
Gene name: histone-lysine N-methyltransferase family member SUVH9
Exons: 3
Source: RefSeq, a predicted model, not a curated record